GGUUUGAUCAUGGCUCAGAUUGAACGCUGGCGGGAUGCUUUACACAUGCAAGUCGACCGGCAGCACGGACUUCGGUCUGGUGGCGAGUGGCGAACGGGUGAGUAAUGUAUCGGAACGUGCCUAGUAGCGGGGGAUAACUACGCGAAAGCGUAGCUAAUACCGCAUACGCCCUUCGGGAAAGCGGGGGACCUUCGGGCCUCGCACUAUUAGAGCGGCCGAUAUCGGAUUAGCGAGCGGUGGGGCAACGGCUCACCAAGGCGACGAUCCGUAGCUGGUUUGAGAGGACGACCAGCCACACUGGGACUGAGACACGGCCCAGACUCCUACGGGAGGCAGCAGUGGGGAAUUUUGGACAAUGGGGGAAACCCUGAUCCAGCCAUCCCGCGUGUGCGAUGAAGGCCUUCGGGUUGUAAAGCACUUUGGCAGGAAAGAAACGUCACGGGAUAAUACCCCGUGCAACUGACGGUACCUGCAGAAUAAGCACCGGCUAACUACGUGCCAGCAGCCGCGGUAAUACGUAGGGUGCAAGCGUUAAUCGGAAUUACGGGCGUAAAGCGUGCGCAGGCGGUUCGAAAGAAAGAUGAAAUCCCAGAGCUUAACUUUGGAACUGCAUUUUUAACUACCGAGCUAGAGUGUGUCAUCAGAGGAGGUGGAAUUCCGCGUGUAGCAUGCUGAAAUGCGUAGAUAUGCGGAGGAACACCGACAUGCAGUUGCAGCCUCCUGGGAUAACACUGACGCUCAUGCACGAAAGCGUGGGGAGCAAACAGGAUUAGAUACCCUGGUAGUCCACGCCCUAAACGAUGUCAACUAGCUGUUGGGGCCUUCGGGCCUUGGUAGCGCAGCUAACGCGUGAAGUUGACCGCCUGGGGAGUACGGCCGCAAGAUUAAAACUCAAAGGAAUUGACGGGGACCCGCACAAGCGGUGGAUGAUGUGGAUUAAUUCGAUGCAACGCGAAAACCUUACCUACCCUUGACAUGUCUGCCUGAAGAGAUUUGGGAGUGUUCGCAAGAGAACCGGAACACAGGUGCUUUUCGCAUGGUUGUCGUCAGCUCGUGUCGUGAGAUGUUGGGUUAAGUCCCGCAACGAGCGCAACCCUUGUCAUUAGUUGCUACGAAAGGGCACUCUAUCGAGACUGCCGGUGACAAACCGGAGAAGGUGGGGAUGACGUCAAGUCCUCAUGGCCCUUAUGGGUAGGGCUUCAGCAUCGUCAUACAAUGGUCGGGACAGAGGGUCGCCAACCCGCGAGGGGGAGCCAAUCCCAGAAACCCGAUCGCAGUCCGGAUCGCAGUCUGCAACUCGACUGCGUGAAGUCGGAAUCGCUAGUAAUCGCGGAUCAGCAUGUCGCGUGAAUACGUUCCCGGGUCUUGUACACACUGCCCGUCACACCAUGGAGUGGGUUUUACCAGAAGUAGUUAGCCUAACCGUAAGGAGGGCGAUUACCACGGUAGGAUUCAUGACUGGGGUGAAGUCGUAACAAGGUAA
This 1483-nucleotide ribosomal RNA is filed under the name uncultured Bordetella sp. RNAcentral's name for it is "partial 16S-23S ribosomal RNA intergenic spacer". It matches the Rfam family "Bacterial small subunit ribosomal RNA". The record is from RNAcentral. Lineage: Bacteria; Pseudomonadati; Pseudomonadota; Betaproteobacteria; Burkholderiales; Alcaligenaceae.